Molecule: ribosomal RNA, 497 nt
Filed under: uncultured bacterium
Lineage: Bacteria
Description: partial 16S ribosomal RNA
Rfam family: Bacterial small subunit ribosomal RNA
Source: RNAcentral
GAUGAACGCUGGCGGCGUGCCUAAUACAUGCAAGUCGAGCGAACAGACGAGGAGCUUGCUCCUCUGACGUUAGCGGCGGACGGGUGAGUAACACGUGGAUAACCUACCUAUAAGACGGGGAUAACUUCGGGAAGCCGGAGCUAAUACCGGAUAAUAUAUUGAACCGCAUGGUUCAAUAGUGAAAGACGGUUUUGCUGUCACUUAUAGAUGUAUCCGCUCCGCAUUAGCUAUUUGGUAAGGUAACGGCUUACCAAGGCAAGGAUGCGUAGCCGACCUGAGAGGGUGUUCGGCCACACGGGAACUGAGACACGGCCCAGACUCCUACGGGAGGCAGCAGAAGGGAAUCUUCCGCAAUGGGCGAAAGCUUGACGGAGCAACGCCGCGUGAGUGAUGAAGUUCUUCGGAUCGUAAAACUCUGUUAUUAGGGAAGAACAAAUGUGUAAGUAACUAUGCACGUCUUGACGGUAACUAAUCAGAAAGCCACGGCUAACUACGUG